AGAGUUUGAUCCUGGCUCAGAUUGAACGCUGGCGGCAGGCCUAACACAUGCAAGUCGAGCGGAUGAGGGGAGCUUGCUUCCUGAUUCAGCGGCGGACGGGUGAGUAAUGCCUAGGAAUCUGCCUGGUAGUGGGGGACAACGUUUCGAAAGGAACGCUAAUACCGCAUACGUCCUACGGGGGAAAGUGGGGGAUCUUCGGACCUCACGCUAUCAGAUGAGCCUAGGUCGGAUUAGCUAGUAGGUGAGGUAAUGGCUCACCUAGGCGACGAUCCGUAACUGGUCUGAGAGGAUGAUCAGUCACACUGGAACUGAGACACGGUCCAGACUCCUACGGGAGGCAGCAGUGGGGAAUAUUGGACAAUGGGCGAAAGCCUGAUCCAGCCAUGCCGCGUGUGUGAAGAAGGUCUUCGGAUUGUAAAGCACUUUAAGUUGGGAGGAAGGGCAGUAAGUUAAUACCUUGCUGUUUUGACGUUACCAACAGAAUAAGCACCGGCUAACUUCGUGCCAGCAGCCGCGGUAAUACGAAGGGUGCAAGCGUUAAUCGGAAUUACUGGGCGUAAAGCGCGCGUAGGUGGUUGGUAAGAAGGGAAUGUGAAAUCCCCGGGCUCAACCUGGGAACUGCAUCCCUAACUGCCUGACUAGGGUACGGUAGA
RNAcentral lists this ribosomal RNA (653 nucleotides) under Pseudomonas sp. 5-2A. Its description in RNAcentral is "bacterial SSU rRNA". It matches the Rfam family "Bacterial small subunit ribosomal RNA", at positions 8 to 655 of the family's 1533-position model. Lineage: Bacteria; Pseudomonadati; Pseudomonadota; Gammaproteobacteria; Pseudomonadales; Pseudomonadaceae. The record is from RNAcentral.